Molecule: long non-coding RNA, 1414 nt
Filed under: Nicotiana tabacum (common tobacco)
Lineage: Eukaryota; Viridiplantae; Streptophyta; Magnoliopsida; Solanales; Solanaceae
Description: long non-coding RNA (NTAB_LNC005177)
Source: RNAcentral
GACUCUUAAAGUCACACUAUUAGGUGGCGAAGUCUAAAACAUGAAGUACGCGAUGUUGCACGAAAAAGCUAUCACUUCGGAAGCAGCUUAUUUCCUUCGUGAUGUCUGCAUAUGUGAGUAAUAUUAUAGUCCAUACUCGUUCUCUUCUUUCCAUGAUCUCGUUCCUUAGUUGAAGCUUGUAUAUACAUUUUAGGUCGGCGUGUCCUAUGUUUAGGUUGCUAUGCAAAUCAAACUAUUAAAGUCAGUUAUCAUUUUCUUUGCGUUAUCCUUGAGAUUGAGGUUUAAAGAGCUGUGCUUGUGAUUUAGAAACAAAUGGGUGCUAUGACAUGAUGGAAGUGGGGUAAUAUAUGGGACAGUUAGUUGCUUGGUGUUGUGCUUGUGUUACUUUUCAAAAGAGAUGGUUAUGUUACCUUUGCAUGAAGAAGUUGUUUUUGCAUAUCCAGGGAAGUGUAUUUUAGGUUUUGACACCGGCUCAGGUAUGUUAAGGUUAAACUCUUCCUUUAUUUUGGCAUGAUCUCGUCGUUACACAAGUUUGAUAACGAGUCAUAAAGAAAAAUUCAUAUCCCAGAAUUUACGUAUAUUUUGUUAGUCUCGCAAAUUGCGUAUAUUUUCCUAGUUUUGUAAGUUAUAUCCUUAUCGGGACUUCAUAUUCAGUUGAGUAUUUCCUUCUCUCGGUCAAGAGAGCAAAGAGUUUAUAUAUACAGUAUUAAAAGUAUUUUCAUUACCAUCGAGCUAUAAUCGAUGGGAAGGCCCCUAUUGGGCAACCUCUGAUCAGAUGGUAAGUUAUAUAUCGAGCCUACUAUGGCGGAGCGCUUAGGAGCAAGCCCAGUUAGUCGAGAUACAGAGCCUAGUAUGGCCGAGUGCCUAUGAGCGAGCCUACUACGGCAGAGUAGUUAUAUAUAUAUAUAUAUAUACCGAGCCUUAUAGGGUCGGACAUCUAUUUUACUUACUAUUGAGAGAGUUGAGACAGUAUCAACGGGUAAGCAUAUCUUCAAAUGAUCUUUGACUUCCAGCUAUUUGCAGUUAUUAUAUUAUCAGUUGAAUUUCAGCUUUCAGUAUAUUGCCUUACAUACUUGGUACAUUAUUUUGUACUGACGUCCUUUUGUUUGGGACACUGCGUUUCAUGCCCGCAGGUAUAGACAAUCAGUUUGACGAUCCCUCAUAGUAGAUGAGAUUGGCAUGCAACAAAGGAUCGGUAAGACUACCUCAUUCGGAGUGCAGCCGAGUCUAUGAGUCAUCGUGUCAGAAUUUUACUAUAUACUUAUGGGUCAGCCGGUACCCUAUCCCAUUUUAUGUCAAAUAAUCUAGAGGCUUUGUCGACACAGAGGUUUAUUAUGUACAGUAUGUUAGAAGCCUUGACGGCCCAUAUGUAUUUAUAUUUUAUGAAAGAUGGUUCAUUGAUAUAACAUUUAAC